AUGUGAAGCACCGGGUCAUGC
Molecule: unclassified non-coding RNA, 21 nt
Filed under: Chlamydomonas reinhardtii
Lineage: Eukaryota; Viridiplantae; Chlorophyta; Chlorophyceae; Chlamydomonadales; Chlamydomonadaceae
Description: small RNA Cre_0787
Source: RNAcentral